UGUAUAGUGUUUGAGCCCUGUUGGCCAGCUGAUAGAAAGGUAAGAGGAACUCAAAUAACAACUGGUUACAACUGAGGUAUGUGUGUGAGUGGGACUGUGACUGUAAAGCACUUUGGGUCUUAGGAGAAGGUAGAAAAGCGCUACACAAAUAAAUGCAAUUUACCAUUUAUCAACAGCAUCUCUGAACUCACAACACGUCCAACAUCCAGGCAGAUGAACUACAGCAGCAGAACCAGGUGAAUGAAUGAGUGACAAGGUUGAUCAAAUCAGAAACUUCUAAGUCCAAAUUGUCCAUGAAGUAGACAAAAUCAGUAAAAGAAGUGGGAAUUAUAAAAAAUAUUUAAAUGACACACAAUUAUGAACAUCGGACCAUCGGGCUAGAAUGUGUUGGUCUUUGUGUUUCUGAAGAUCCAUAACCUCCUAUUGUAACAGUCCAAUCUGGUCAUCAGCUCUUAUUUGUUUGCUUAGCUGCUUAACACUUAGAAGUUAGAAAGGAAAAAAAGUCAAAGCUGAACUUAGUAUAAAAUUCUGUUUUAUUCACCCCACUUUCACACAUUCACCAUACCCAAGCUUUCUGUCGCAAUGCAACUACUGUCACAUGACAUUUACUUCCUAUCACUUCAAUAAUAACCUUAGACAGGAAAAGCUGUUCAGUAUACAAGUCAGUCUGUUACACACUUCACACGUUCUUAGACUUUACAUCUUUAUAAUGGAAGCCAUUUAUGAAAAUUUUGAACCUGAGGAUCCUGUCUGCAAAUUGUCUGUAUCAAAUCCACCAGCUUCCAUCAAGUCCAACAGGAGAUGCUAUCUUGGUGUUAUUACUUUCAUGGUGAUGCUGAGUGUUCUUCUUCUGGCUGGACUCGUCAUUGUCUGCCUCCUCUAUGGUGACACAGUAAGACAUUUGUCUGAAAUCUCUGACAACAAAGACAAUCUGACUGAGCAUCUGAAUGCUGUUAUUGAGGGGAUGAAUUCCAGCCUCAUUGAAACAACCAAGAAGCUGAUGGACUGUAA
Molecule: non-coding RNA, 1011 nt
Organism: Oryzias latipes (Japanese medaka)
Lineage: Eukaryota; Metazoa; Chordata; Actinopteri; Beloniformes; Adrianichthyidae
Source: RefSeq, a predicted model, not a curated record